Macaca fascicularis (crab-eating macaque) is the source of this 1677-nucleotide long non-coding RNA. The record is from Ensembl. Lineage: Eukaryota; Metazoa; Chordata; Mammalia; Primates; Cercopithecidae.
UUUUUUUUUUUUUUUUAAGGAAAGUUUGUAGCUACUCCUAUGCCCAGGAAAGCACAGAAUUCAAGUGUGGUGGCCGUCCGAGCUGUCCUUUCUCUGGCCCUGCUGUCUGCAGGGGCUUCCUACCUGUGUGAGAGGUCGUAGCGGGAGACAGCGACAGACAGAAGGCGGCUGGGCCACGUCCUUCACAGGGCGACAUGUGCCUUUCUAUUUUCAUCUUAGAAAAUUUCCUCAGCAAACCGAUGAGAGAUUGUGGUUGCAAGCUUCAGUAUUUGCCUCACUUCCCUUUUCCUAUUUACGGAAUUAAAACAACCUCAAGUACCUCAGACUCUGCAUUCCAAACCAAGACACCUAGCAGCCAAAGUGUUGAGGGCAUUUAAGUGGAGUUAAUGGCAGGAGAGAUGGUUUUAGAAUCUUUGGAGUGGUGUAAGUUACGGAUAGAAGGGAAAAGGCAAAAACUGUAUUUACCCUGCCUUUGCAGGCUCGGAUUUUUGAACCGAGGAAGGCUGGGACGCCUGUUUCCAGAUGGUUGUCAUGGUCACACUGGGUGAAGAGCUGGAGGGGAGUUGCCACCUCCGCUGAGCGGCUGCAGUGAAAUGCCCCAGUGUUCCUGGGUUGGCUUUACGGCAAACUCCUAAAUGCAGGGGACGCUGGAGUCGGACUCAACUACACCGGCUUCCUCACAGCCGCUGGUGUGCGGCACACAGCACAUCUGCAUUAGGCAGAGGUGCAGGUGGGCUGAUUGAACUUUUCCUUCAAACCCUGCGUGUCUGUCCUGGACCUUUGAUGAAAUGGGAUCCCGGUCACGCAGGCUGAGGCGGUGGGGACCACUGAGGCCAGAGCGGGCUAUGCUUGAGCAGGGAUGAGAAGGGCCGCGGCAGCACGCAGCCUUGACCCACGCCCGCAGCUUGUGGUGCAAGGCCAGAGGGCUCUCUAGAACCUGAGCGUGCACUCCAUCUCCUGGGAGGCACGUUUGGCUAGAGUGUGUUCGUGGGGGGAAAAAAGUGCACAAGAGAUACGGAACCCUGAGCUAGGGUUCCCCAUCACCAAAGAGAGCUGCAUUUCCAGUUCUGUGUUAAAGUGCCGUUGGUUCUGGUGCCUGCCUGUCGUGAGGAUUUGGAGACUCGAAUCUCCUUUGCCAGGUCUCUUUUGUCUUUGGGAUUGGUAGUACUAGAAGAUGCGGGGAAUUCUCUUCCUCGCGCAGCCUCGGCUUCCCACACUGUAAGAUGAGGCAGUUGCAGAGGAGGCCUCGGAUGUCCUGUGACCCUCGGCCCACACUCCCCCUCGGGUGGCCCAGGCAGGGCUGGCUGGGUGCUUUCCAUGCAGACCACAGGAAGCCCUGUGCUUGCCUGGGUCAGAGCUAAGCCGUGCGCUCUAAAGAAGGGAGGAGGACUGCAGAUUCUUGGUCAAGAAGAAUGAAGAGGAUGUCUAUGUUUGCUGAGCAGCCAUUGUGGAGGGUUACCCGCCUCCACUUUGCUGUUGCCCGUUUCACUCCCACCAGCUCCUCUUCCUCUGCUGGAACCCAUGAGUCCCAGCCUCACUGGCGGCCUCAGACGUGCUUGGGAGUGACGGGGACAGAGAGAGGCCGCUGAGAUGCCCUUUAGAACUCUCUGCUGCGCCAGAGACCCAGAUGGAGAGGGACCCUGAACCAAACAGAACGUGUACUAAUUUGCCGAACUC